This 273-nucleotide ribosomal RNA is filed under the name uncultured bacterium. RNAcentral's name for it is "partial 16S ribosomal RNA". It matches the Rfam family "Bacterial small subunit ribosomal RNA", at positions 1231 to 1500 of the family's 1533-position model. The record is from RNAcentral.
UGGCGUAAACAGAGGGAAGCGAGAUCGAGAGAUGGAGCAAAUCCCAAAAAUAACGUCCCAGUUCGGACUGUAGUCUGCAACCCGACUACACGAAGCUGGAAUCGCUAGUAAUCGCGGAUCAGAAUGCCGCGGUGAAUACGUUCCCGGGUCUUGUACACACCACCCGUCACACCACGGGAGUCAGUAACGCCCGAAGUCAGUGACCCUAACCGGAAAGGGGGGGAGCUGCCGAAGGCGGGACGGAUGACUGGGGUGAAGUCGUAACAAGGUAAC